ACGCUGGCGGCGUGCCUAAUACAUGCAAGUCGAACGGAGAUUAAGUAGCUUGCUAUUUAAUCUUAGUGGCGCACGGGUGAGUAAUAUAUAGCUAACUUGCCCAUUACUAAGGGACAACAGUUGGAAACGACUGCUAAUACCUUAUACUCCGUAUCUAUAUAAGUAGAUACGGGAAAGUUUUUCGGUAAUGGAUAGGGCUAUAUCGUAUCAGCUAGUUGGUAAGGUAAUGGCUUACCAAGGCUAUGACGCGUAACUGGUCUGAGAGGAUGAUCAGUCACACUGGAACUGAGACACGGUCCAGACUCCUACGGGAGGCAGCAGUAGGGAAUAUUGCUCAAUGGGGGAAACCCUGAAGCAGCAACGCCGCGUGGAGGAUGACACUUUUCGGAGCGUAAACUCCUUUUCUUGGGAAAGAAUUAUGACGGUACCCAAGGAAUAAGCACCGGCUAACUCCGUGCCAGCAGCCGCGGUAAUACGGAGGGUGCAAGCGUUACUCGGAAUCACUGGGCGUAAAGGACGCGUAGGCGGAUUAUCAAGUCUCUUGUGAAAUCUAACGGCUUAACCGUUAAACUGCUUGGGAAACUGAUAAUCUAGAGUAAGGGAGAGGCAGAUGGAAUUCUUGGUGUAGGGGUAAAAUCCGUAGAGGUCAAGAAGAAUACCCAUUGCGAAAGCGAUCUGCUGGAACUUAACUGACGCUAAUGCGUGAAAGCGUGGGGAGCAAACAGGAUUAGAUACCCUGGUAGUCCACGCCCUAAACGAUGUAUACUAGUUUGUUGCUUCGCUAGUCGAGGCAGUAAUGCACCUAACGGAUUAAGUAUACCGCCUGGGGAGUACGGUCGCAAGAUUAAAACUCAAAGGAAUAGACGGGGACCCGCACAAGCGGUGGAGCAUGUGGUUUAAUUCGAAGAUACGCGAAGA
Molecule: ribosomal RNA, 918 nt
Filed under: uncultured bacterium
Lineage: Bacteria
Description: bacterial SSU rRNA
Rfam family: Bacterial small subunit ribosomal RNA
Source: RNAcentral